RNAcentral lists this ribosomal RNA (783 nucleotides) under uncultured phototrophic eukaryote. RNAcentral's name for it is "bacterial SSU rRNA". It matches the Rfam family "Bacterial small subunit ribosomal RNA", at positions 9 to 822 of the family's 1533-position model. The record is from RNAcentral.
GAGUUUGAUCAUGGGCUCAGGAUGAACGCUGGCGGCAUGCUUUACACAUGCAAGUUGAACGAAUUAAAGUUUUCGAAUUUUAGUUAAGUAGCGAACGGGUGAGUAAAACGUAAGAAUCUAUUUUUAGGUGAGGAAUAACUAAUGGAAACGUUAGCUAAUACCUUAUAAACUGAGAAGUGAAAAACUAAAAAUUACCUAAAAGUGAGCUUGCGCCUGAUUAGCUUGUUGGUAAGAUAAUCGCUUACCUAAGCGACGAUCAGUAGUUGAUCUAAGAGGAUAAUCAACCACACUGGGACUGAGAUACGGCCCAGACCUCUACGGAGGGCAGCAGUGAGGAAUUUUCCGCAAUGGGCGAAAGCCUGACGGAGCAAUGCCGCGUGAAGGAUGAAGGCCUAUGGGUCGUAAACUUCUUUUCUUAAUGAAGAAAUAAGACGGUAAUUAAGGAAUAAGCAUCGGCUAACUCCGUGCCAGCAGCCGCGGUAAUACGGAGGAUGCAAGCGUUAUCCGGAAUUAUUGGGCGUAAAGGGUUUGUAGGCUACUUUUUAAGUCUACUGUUAAAGAAUAAGACUUAACCUUAGAAAAGCAGUAUGAAACUAAAAGGAUAGAGUUCAGUAGGGGUAGAGGGAAUUCUCGGUGUAGUAGUGAAAUGCGUAGAUAUCGAGAGGAACACCAAUAGCGAAAGCACUCUACUAGGCUGUAACUGACGCUAAGAAACGAAAGCUAGGGGAGCCAAUGGGAUUAGAUACCCCAGUAGUCCUAGCUGUAAACGAUGGAUACUAAGUA